AUUGAACGCUGGCGGCAUGCCUUACACAUGCAAGUCGAACGGCAGCGCGGGAGCAAUCCUGGCGGCGAGUGGCGAACGGGUGAGUAAUAUAUCGGAACGUGUCCUGUCGUGGGGGAUAGCCCGGUGAAAACCGGAUUAAUACCGCAUACGAUCGAGAGAUGAAAGUGGGGGACCUUCGGGCCUCACGCGAUGAGAUGAGCCGAUGCCGGAUUAGCUAGUUGGCGGGGUAAAGGCCCACCAAGGCGACGAUCCGUAGCUGGUCUGAGAGGAUGAUCAGCCACACUGGAACUGAGACACGGUCCAGACUCCUACGGGAGGCAGCAGUGGGGAAUAUUGGACAAUGGGGGCAACCCUGAUCCAGCCAUGCCGCGUGUGUGAAGAAGG
RNAcentral lists this ribosomal RNA (384 nucleotides) under uncultured bacterium. Its description in RNAcentral is "bacterial SSU rRNA". It matches the Rfam family "Bacterial small subunit ribosomal RNA", at positions 29 to 414 of the family's 1533-position model. The record is from RNAcentral.